CCUACGGGUGGCAGCAGUGAGGAAUAUUGGUCAAUGGGAGAAAUCCUGAACCAGCCAAGCCGCGUGAGGGAAGAAGGCCCUAUGCGUUGUAAACCUCUUUUGUCGGGGAACAAAACCCGGGACGUGACCCUGACUGCGUGUAUCCGAAGAAAAAGCAUCGGCUAACUCCGUGCCAGCAGCCGCGGUAAUACGGAGGAUGCGAGCGUUAUCCGGAUUUAUUGGGUUUAAAGGGUGCGUAGGCGGACCGUUAAGUCAGCGGUAAAAUCGCGGGGCUCAACCCCGUCGAGCCGUUGAAACUGGGAGACUUGAGUUGGCGAGAGGUACGCGGAAUGCGCAGUGUAGCGGUGAAAUGCAUAGAUAUCGCGCAGAACUCCGAUUGCGAAGGCAGCGUACCGGCGCCAAACUGACGCUGAGGCACGAAAGCGUGGGGAUCGAACAGGAUUAGAUACCCCAGUAGUC
This 459-nucleotide ribosomal RNA is filed under the name uncultured bacterium. Its description in RNAcentral is "partial 16S ribosomal RNA". It matches the Rfam family "Bacterial small subunit ribosomal RNA", at positions 338 to 795 of the family's 1533-position model. The record is from RNAcentral.